GCAUAUCAUAGCGGAGGAAAAGAAACCAACAGGGAUUGCCCUAGUAACGGCGAAGUGAAGCGGCAACAGCUCAAAUUUGAAAUCUGGCUUCGGCCCGAGUUGUAAUUUGUAGAGGAUGCUUUGGGCGCGGCUCUAACUGAGUUCCCUGGAACGGGACGCCACAGAGGGUGAGAGCCCCGUAUAGUUAGAUGCCUAGCCUAUGUAAAGCUCCUUCGACGAGUCGAGUAGUUUGGGAAUGCUGCUCUAAAUGGGAGGUAAAUUUCUUCUAAAGCUAAAUAUUGGCCAGAGACCGAUAGCGCACAAGUAGAGUGAUCGAAAGAUGAAAAGCACUUUGAAAAGAGGGUUAAAUAGCACGUGAAAUUGUUGAAAGGGAAGCGCUUGUGACCAGACUUGCGCCGGGCAGAUCAUCCGGUGUUCUCACCGGUGCACUCUGCCCGGCUCAGGCCAGCAUCGGUUCUCGUGGGGGGAUAAAGGUCCCGGGAACGUAGCUCCUCCGGGAGUGUUAUAGCCCGGGGCGUAAUGCCCUCGUGGGGACCGAGGUUCGCGCAUCUGCAAGGAUGCUGGCGUAAUGGUCAUCAGCGACCCGUCUUGAAACACGGACCAAGGAGUCAAGGUUUUGCGCGAGUGUUUGGGUGUAAAACCCGCACGCGUAAUGAAAGUGAACGUAGGUGAGAGCUUCGGCGCAUCAUCGACCGAUCCUGAUGUAUUCGGAUGGAUUUGAGUAAGAGCGUUAAGCCUUGGACCCGAAAGAUGGUGAACUAUGCUUGGAUAGGGUGAAGCCAGAGGAAACUCUGGUGGAGGCUCGCAGCGGUUCUGACGUGCAAAUCGAUCGUCAAAUCUGAGCAUGGGGGCGAAAGACUAAUCGAACCAUCUAGUAGCUGGUUACCGC
This 889-nucleotide ribosomal RNA is filed under the name Trichocladium asperum. Its description in RNAcentral is "LSU rRNA". It matches the Rfam family "Eukaryotic large subunit ribosomal RNA", at positions 38 to 961 of the family's 3401-position model. The record is from RNAcentral. Lineage: Eukaryota; Fungi; Ascomycota; Sordariomycetes; Sordariales; Chaetomiaceae.